This 402-nucleotide ribosomal RNA is filed under the name uncultured bacterium. RNAcentral describes it as "bacterial SSU rRNA". It matches the Rfam family "Bacterial small subunit ribosomal RNA", at positions 355 to 774 of the family's 1533-position model. The record is from RNAcentral.
UGGGGAAUCUUGCACAAUGGGGGCAACCCUGAUGCAGCGACGCCGCGUGAGCGAUGAAGCCCUUCGGGGCGUAAAGCUCUUUCGACCGGAACGAUAAUGACGGUACCGGGAGAAGAAGCUGCGGCUAACUACGUGCCAGCAGCCGCGGUAAUACGUAGGCAGCAAGCGUUGUUCGGAGUUACUGGGCGUAAAGCGCGCGUAGGCGGACCGUUAAGUCGGAGGUGAAAGCCUGGGGCUCAACCCCAGAACUGCCUUCGAUACUGUCGGUCUCGAGUCCGGGAGAGGUGAGUGGAACUGCCAGUGUAGAGGUGAAAUUCGUAGAUAUUCGCAAGAACACCAGUGGCGAAGGCGGCUCACUGGCCCGAUACUGACGCUGAGGUGCGAAAGCGUGGGGAGCAAACA